This is a non-coding RNA of Coturnix japonica (Japanese quail), 5078 nucleotides long. NCBI's taxonomy places the organism in Eukaryota, Metazoa, Chordata, Aves, Galliformes, Phasianidae. The record is from RefSeq and is a predicted model, not a curated record.
CUCUGAGAAGACACCAAGAGCCUCUUUAGAAGAGUGGGUCAUGUUUUGUACCAUGUGCCCUGCUCCUACCAGGACCCCUGAGGUCUGAUUCAAGGUCCACUGCAGCCAGUGGGAGAAGAGGAGAAAGCAGGAGGUCCAAACACCUUGGAGGACCCUGGAGUUCUUGUUAGGACUUGAGGUAAGCUCAUGUGAGGUGGUGUGGUGAGGGGACACUAGCUGUGAAAAGGGGGAUGGACAUGAGUGGAGCGCCAUGCUGGGGUGGCCAGGGGCAUCGCUACCUGGUGUUCAGUGGUGCUGCGUGGAUGCACUCCAUGGUGUCAAGAAGGAAAAGGAGCACUUCCAUGUAUAAAAGAUGGAGUAUAAAAGGACGUUUUGUUGGUUUUGUUCCACUCAUGGAAGUAAUUUUCUGGUUACUAUGAGGGGAGAAUGAAAUGCCUUGUCUCAAGCUUUCUGGUGAAAGGAAACCCACUGCACAGUUGUAAUCUUUAUUACUGCGGUCUUUAAGUGUUCUCUUGAUUCAGCUGCAUCUUAAUGAGGAGACUAUAUUGGAGACUGAUUUCUCAUGCUUCCGAUUAUUGAGAAAUAUGCUCUCCAUGUCCAUGUGAACAAUUCCGCUUCUGCGUCAAGACUGAAACUUCCCUGAGGCUAUAAUCUCAACAGCUUAUAAGAGCUGCUGGUACAAUAGUAUUGCAGAUUGCAGGAUACCCUACCUCAGCCCUGGUCACAAGGAUGCGAAUCAAAGUAUCUUCAUCAGUCCCAGCUCCUUUCAUUGACUCGUGCAGAAGUGUAGCAAAGUAACCCGGACAGUCUUUGGCACAGCUGACUGGAGAACAGUAAGAGACUUCAUUACACUUAAAUACUUACACUUUGUAUUACAUCUUCAAUCAGAAGGAAAUAAGGAAGAAAUACAAAAAACUCUCUAGGGUUAUAAUCAUGUAGAUGUAUGAGCUGGGAGGGUUUGUAUUUUAUAACUAGUUCUCUAUCCACAUACAAGGAGCAAAUUUGGAAUCUGAAUGGAGUCACACGUUUAUCCAGAGGGAAAGUUCAUUACACAGUGAAAUGAUAAACACUGACUCCACUGCUAUUUCACAGUGAAAAUGAAAUGAAUGAGGAUGAGCGUUAGUCCAUCGAGAGUUCUCCUUGAUGAUAUAUUUACUGUGUCCAGGCCCAGGACACCAGACACAAGAAAAACGUGGAACUAUUGGUGUGGGUCCAGAGGAGGCUAUGAAGAUGGAGCCUUUCUCUUAUGAAGAAAGGUAGAGGGAGCUGGACUUGUUUAGCUUGGAGAAGAGAAGGCUCCAGGGAGACCACAUUACAGAUUUCUAGUACUUGGGGGAGCACAUAAAAAGGAGAGAGAUCAAUGUUUACAUGAUCUGAUAGCAAUAGGACAAGGGAGAAUAGCUUUAAACUAAAAGAGAUGAGGUUUAAGUUAGAUCUUAGUAAGAAAUUCUUUACUCAGAGGGUAGUGAGGCACUGGCACAGGCUGCAGAUAAGUCAUUUUCAGUUUAGGGUUACCUCAAUAACCGUCACCAGGCAGAAACCCCAAGAACCAAUGUCAAAGGAGGGCAAGAACUAGAAAAGAAAGGUCUCAAUGCUUUUUUUUUUUUCUUUUACCCAGAGUGAGAUAAGCUUUCUCCAGAUCUCCUGAUGUUUCACUUUUAAUGGAUUCUUCUAUGUCUUUUCCACACACCUACAAGGACAACAAAAUGUAGCUGUAAGAGCUGCUCUCUGCACACGUCAUAGCACUGCCAUAAAACCCACUUUAUAUUAAGGAUCCAAUGGCAAAAGCCCAAUUCACAUCCUUUUAGCUCUUUACAAGAGAGUAAUUCAUGGACAAAUGAAGCCUUUCUUUGGUUUAAGUGCUCACAGAUCCACUGGCACCAAGAAAACAGAGGCUACAAGGCCUGGUAAGGCACAGCAGCCAGGAGAUGGAUAGCAUCAAUCAGGCAGUUGUACUCAUAUCAGAGGGCUUCUAGAACAAAGAAGCUUCAGCUUCUUCUUGAGUGACCCUGAGUCUAGGAAAAAGUCUCUGAGUUCCUUCUAAUCCUUUUAUCAAGGCUCUGGAUAGUUUCCACACAAAGAAGAUAAAUUUUGGAGCUUUACCAGCUCUGUGAAGCUUUGUUACUUAUUGUCUUUGGCUUCCCAGGGAAAGUUUACAAGCACUUCAGUUGUUCCCAAGUUUUUGUAUUAUUCUGUAGAAAAAGGGAAAAAGAGACUGCAACUUCAAAACACAGUUCAUUUUGACCUAGUGAAUUUUCUGAACCUCAAAGCCUUUUACUUUGCUCUGCUUUGCUACUUAGAUGCCUCUGCGUGUUUCAAAAAUCCAGUGGACUUAAGCUCAGACCUAGGAGAGCACAAAUACAAGGCAGCAUUGGAUACCUUGUGAGAUUCUGCAAACCCAAUUGAUUUGUCUCUAUCUUUCCAAAAGUGAAGGAUUGAUGUUUGCAUGGCUCUAAUAUGGGCCCCCUUCCUCUCAUACAGCCAGAAAGGAUGUGGUAGAUUGGGUUGGGCAAUAUGAUCUUCUUGGCUUUUGGAAUCAAAAAGUGAAGGUAGCUUGGAACCCCCAGGAUAUGGGCAACUCUGAGGGAGUAUCAAUUAGUGACUGGUUUUUUUCUCCUGCCAACAACAAACCAAAAGCUGGAUUAAGCUUCAAACAUUUUUCCAAAUAAGGGUUCUUUAUUAUAAUGACAUUGAAAGAAGACUAUGACUGAAGGUUUCCUAUCUUCAAUGCUUAGGGUCACAGUUUUCUGAUGAACUCAGAGACAUCGCUCUCUUCCAGUAUCUGAAAGGUGCUUACAGUGAGAGCAAGGCAGGUCAGUUGCGCCAAAGUAAGUUUAGGUUGGAUGUUAGGAAACACUUCUUUACAGAAAGGGUAGUUAAACACUGGUAUAGGUUCCCCAGGGAGGUGGUCGAGUCACCAUCCCUGGAUGUGUUUAAGAGCUGUUUGGAUGCAGAGCUCAGAGAUAUAUUAUUUAGCAGAGGGUUGUUAGAAUUAGGGUACUAUGUUGUUUGGACUUGAUGAUUUUCGAGGUCUUUUCCAACCUGAGUAAUUCUAUGAUUCUACAUCCUAGGGGAUUUUGGGUUUCUGAGCCAGAGGCUGGAGAGGACCCCUCUCCAGGGAAUGAACAUCACUGCUGGGCUUCCACCUACCUUCUGAGAGAAAAACUUUGCAUUUGCCUUUGCUUGAACUUUCACAGGUCAAGUAAACAGCUAAGGCUCUGCUGCUUACUUCAUCUUUUGCUUGUGAGGAGAGCACAGCAAAGUCCUUGCACCUGCUGUCUGCUCAGAAGAGGCUAGAGAUGUGCCUCUGCCCUAACAGAAGGGCUGUGGAUGAGUGCAAUGGAGAGGAUGGGAACAGGCACCUCCAGACACAGCAAGGUCUCAUGAGUAAGCCAGGAACAGGUCCAGCAUGCAUCCGCCCAGCUGUGUGCCACCUCACUGCCCCAGAAUGGUCAGCCCUCCUGCUGCAGGAACCAGCAUACGCAUCAUCAUGCAGCUGUGGGACACCACAGCUUUUGUUUGGUUGGAUGCUGUGUGGGUUAUGAAAGGGAAUAUCCUCUGCUUAACUGGCAUAUGAUACAGCUUUUUCCCUCUAUAAGAUCAGGAUCUAGUCAUACAGAAAUUAUUUCCAAAUUCCUUUAAAAUGAUAAAUAAAGGGUCACCUUCUCUACAUGUUGUUGCAGGGCCUGCAAGCUACACAUUACAUCCUGUGCAACCCACAUCACAUAAGGGAAUAACUCACCUUUUCGUAGGCCUGAAAAGUUGCUCUCAGCUGACUGUAGCUUCUCUUUGCUAAGACAACAUUGAAAGCCAGCUCCUCUGUUCCCCAGCGGCCUUCUCCUGCCUUAGAUAUUGCAUGUUAAUGUUUGAUGCACUUGUGUAUCCCACAUGCUCAGUGCAUUUUGUCACCAUCUCAUUGCUGAGCAGCACCAGAUAAUUGUUGUUUUUCUUUCUUUCUGUAGUUUCACUUACUUUAUACAGAUCUGAGGCAUCCUGCUCAGCGAGCUCUACGUUGACUUGCUGGUUCUCAUCUCGGGUUGCCUACAGAAAAGGACAUUAUGGUUCAAAAAGAGACUCAAGUGCUGGUUAGUUUGUGGUGGAGGGGAAGCUGGUCAUUUAGCGGCCUUUGCAAACAUUUUGGUUAUAGUUUUGCUGCCACCUGCUGACAACUGCUUAGUAAUAGGUCACUGUACAGCACGGGAUAAAACUGUCCAAGUUCAGCAUGGACUUGAGGUGAAGCCUGCACAUUAAUCAGUGCUGUGUACUCCCUGAGAGCUUUGAAAUAUUCCUCAAUAAAUGAAUAUAAUGCAUGCUCUGAGCAUUCACUAGCACUGUUUUUGUUUGUUUGUUUAUUUGUUUUCUAACUGAAAUUACAAACAAAUUAACUAUAAAAAAGAUAUAUGGAUAAUACACAUUUGCAUCUCCUGAAAAUAUACCCCAAGAGGUUGAAGCAGUGCUUUCCAGACUGGUGUACUUAGCAACCGGGCUGUUAAAACUUUAAAAUGUAUCAAAUCUUUUCAUUUCCAUGGGCUGUCUGGUCAGAUGGUUGCACUCCUACUUGUGAUCUUACUUUAAUUAGCUAUACUAUGUCUUUAUAGAAAUGUUACUUGUUUUUUAUUUCAUGUGGCUGGUUUAAAAUCAAGCAUGUUGUAAUGGAAAAUACACUUUCUUUUUGUGAAUGGAAAGGAAACAUAACAGCAAUCUCUUUCUUACUUCUUCUGUAUCUAUAUGAAUUGUAAGUUAAGAUUGAAACCAGGUGUCACAGGCUUUAGACAGAAAUCAGCAUAGUGUAGUCACGACCCUUCAUGGGUAUUCUACCGUUCUAUCCUCAGUGUUUUCAAGAAACGCGUAGAUACAGUACUGAGGGACAUGGUUUAGUGGGCAUGGUGGUGAUGUGUUAAUGGUUGGAGUAGAUGAUCUUACUGCUCUUUUCCUACCCUAGUGAUUCUGUGAUUCUAUGAUACCAUUACUGUGGUAAAAUCAUAAAGUUAUGCUGAUGCCUACCAAUUAUCAGAAUUUCUAAAAUCACUUCUGAAUUUGUAUAAUCCCCAUUGUGACAUUAAACAGCUGAAAACUCA